This 371-nucleotide long non-coding RNA is filed under the name Lathyrus oleraceus (garden pea). RNAcentral's name for it is "Pisum sativum (pea) long non-coding RNA (PSAT_LNC025437)". Lineage: Eukaryota; Viridiplantae; Streptophyta; Magnoliopsida; Fabales; Fabaceae. The record is from RNAcentral.
CAUAUUCCAACCAAGAAAAGAAAGAGAACUUUGUGAAAAAGGUACAGGUCAAAUGAUUUUAAUUGUUUUCUUUAUUACAGGUAAAAUGACUUUUAUGAUUUUAAUUGUUUUUACAUUUGUCAUCUGAUUUUAAUUGUUUUCUUUUUUACAGGUAAAAUGGCUAUUAUGAAGUCAAUCAUUUUUGCAAGGGGCAAGGGAUGCUCGAAAGUAUCAAUUGAUAUUUGUUUAGAUGAUGAUGCUGGAUAUUUGAAAGUAUCCCUCUACGACAUUGGUUUCCUUGUUCGACAACAUAUUCCGAUUACAUGUGAUAAUUGGAGAAGUCCGGACUUGAAGGUUGGCAAAGAAAAAAUAUGGUCGGAGAUACAGGCUUG